Molecule: transfer RNA, 72 nt
Filed under: Candidatus Roizmanbacteria bacterium
Lineage: Bacteria; Candidatus Roizmaniibacteriota
Description: tRNA-His
Rfam family: tRNA
About the family: Transfer RNA (tRNA) molecules are approximately 80 nucleotides in length. Their secondary structure includes four short double-helical elements and three loops (D, anti-codon, and T loops).
Source: RNAcentral
GUGAUUGUAGCUCAAUGGUAGAGCACCGCCCUGUGGAGGCGGGUGUUGCGGGUUCGAGUCCCGUCAGUCACC